Molossus molossus (Pallas's mastiff bat) is the source of this 103-nucleotide small nuclear RNA. Lineage: Eukaryota; Metazoa; Chordata; Mammalia; Chiroptera; Molossidae. The record is from RefSeq and is a predicted model, not a curated record.
GUUCGUUUCGGCAGCAUAUACUAAAAUUGGAACGAUACAGAGAAGAUUAGCAGGUCCCCUGCGCAAGGAUGACACGCACAUUCAUGAAGAGCUCCAUAUUUAA